RNAcentral lists this ribosomal RNA (324 nucleotides) under uncultured eukaryote. RNAcentral's name for it is "partial 18S ribosomal RNA". It matches the Rfam family "Eukaryotic small subunit ribosomal RNA", at positions 1470 to 1796 of the family's 1831-position model. The record is from RNAcentral.
CCAUUAGAUGCUCUGGGCCGCACGCGCGCUACACUGGUCGAUGCAACGAGUUUCUUUCCUUGGCCGACAGGCCUGGGCAAUCUUUGAACAUCGAUCGUGAUCGGGAUAGAUUCUUGUAAUUUUUGAUCUUAAACGAGGAAUUCCUAGUAAACGCAAGUCAUCAGCUUGCAUUGAUUACGUCCCUGCCCUUUGUACACACCGCCCGUCGCACCUACCGAUUGAAUGGUCCGGUGAAAUCUCCGGACUGGCGUGAGUCGGAGCAAUCUGACAAACACCGGAAAGUUGAUUAAACCUUACCAUUUAGAGGAAGGUGAAGUCGUAACA